RNAcentral lists this ribosomal RNA (396 nucleotides) under Entamoeba histolytica. Its description in RNAcentral is "SSU rRNA". It matches the Rfam family "Eukaryotic small subunit ribosomal RNA", at positions 1034 to 1431 of the family's 1831-position model. Lineage: Eukaryota; Evosea; Mastigamoebida; Endamoebidae. The record is from RNAcentral.
AAGCAUUGUUUCUAGAUCUGAGUAUAUCAAUAUUACCUUGUUCAGAACUUAAAGAGAAAUCUUGAGUUUAUGGACUUCAGGGGGAGUAUGGUCACAAGGCUGAAACUUAAAGGAAUUGACGGAAGGGCACACCAGGAGUGGAGCCUGCGGCUUAAUUUGACUCAACACGGGAAAACUUACCAAGACCGAACAGUAGAAGGAAUGACAGAUUAAGAGUUCUUUCAUGAUUUAUUGGGUAGUGGUGCAUGGCCGUUCUUAGUUGGUGGAGUGAUUUGUCAGGUUAAUUCCGGUAACGAACGAGACUGAAACCUAUUAAUUAGUUUUCUGCCUAUAAGACAGAAAUGUUCGCAAGAACAGGUGCGUAAGUACCACUUCUUAAAGGGACACAUUUCAAUU